GAAGAAAACAUCAACGUUCUGAAGUUUUAGAUAGGUGCACCAUCCCUUAUGGAUACCAAUCUGUGCUCCCCAUAAACUUCUGUGCCCAGGGUCAACUGGCCAGGGACAACUGGCUCACCAGGAGGCCUACAUAGCCUCUUCUUCAGGCCCUAAUUACAGCUCUAUGCAAUAGGGACUCUGCCAUCUGACAGCCAAGGAGGUGGUUCGGUUUCUGCACAUGGUUUUUUCCGCUGGGUCCCUUGAGGUCCAUGGUAACCUCUUCCUCAUUCUCUACAGGCAGAUCACACUUUGUAAUAAGAUCAGAGGCAGAGAACUUUGACCAGAUCACACUUUAUAAUAAGAUCAGAGGCAAAGAACUCUGACCAGAUCACACUUUAUAAUAAGAUCAGAGGCAGAGAACUUUGACAACUAUCUCCUUGCCCUCUGGCCCUGGGGUCAGGGCUACUCAAACAACACCUGCUGUCCCAAACCCGGAGAAGUGUAGAUUUUGGCACUGGUAGAGGAAUAACAGCUAUUGUUGACACUUAAUCUUGUGGGCCUGGAAUUUCAACUAUGUUUUCACAACUCGGAGCCUAUUGCUGCCACCUCUGUCAGGGAAGAUAAAUGGGCAUGAAUAAUAGACAGAUGAGUUUCCCAAAAGCCCAGACAGGCUGCAGGGAACACGUAAUGAGCAGACAGUGUGGUUCACGCCGGGGAGCCCAGGUUUAUCCAGGCCUCAUCCUCACUCCCUUUCUCUACUGAUAAUUGGACCCAACAGGACCAUUCCGAAUCAUUUUUCUCUCUUCAGUUAUUCUUCAGUUCUACUCAAAGGGUCAGUUUAGGGCAUAAUUAAAGUCAAUUACUUUCUGAAAGGCCAUCAGGACAACUGUUAGAGAAAAUGAUAGCAGCCCCGCACUUGCUGUAGGAAUUAUUAGCUUGUCAGCCUCCAGGCUUAUGGAGACAAAGGAUCAAAAAGUUAGAGAGAUCCAGGUGUUCACCUAUUUGUUCACUAAUUCUUUUAUUGUGAGUGUGCAUGUGUGUGGGUGGGUGUGACAUUUAUUAUGAACCAGAGGGCAGGAGCCAGUGACACAGUGGUGCAGAGAAUAAUCAUAUUCCCUGCCUUCCUGGGGUCAUACAGCUUGGUGGAGGACACAGAUGUGAAUUCGGUAAUCACUCCAAUAAAUAUUCUCCUACAGAUGAAGAAAGAUGAUACGAUGUGAUGGACAACAGAGACUUAUAUGGUGGGGUCUGGGCUGGUCUUUCUGAAGCUAAGACUGGCAGGAUGAGCAGGAGUUUGCCAGACAAAGAGGAGUGGAGUUGUUUUCCAAACACAUCUCAGCACAAAGUGUUGUCUUUGCUGGGAGCUGAAAAAAGAUAGUGUGGGCAGAGACCAUUAGGUGAGACGCUUGAUAUGAGAUACAACCUCAACAGGUGGAAGAAGAUCAUGAGAGAUGAAGAGAGGAAUAUAGUACAGCAGAGAGGACACAGAAGCUGACGUCAGGGUGUCUCAGUUUGAAACCAGUGGCCACCCUGUUCCUCUCCCAUGUGGUCCCAUCAUGGGCCUCUAGGGUCUGGGAUAAGAGGUUAAUGAAUAUCUCAUACCCUAAGCAGGGGUGGUCCCUGCACUUUAGCAAAAAGUUAAGGAACUAGGGAAAAGAGAUGGAAAUAAUAAAGAGAUGGGACAAAGACUUUGAAGACCAAAGCCCCUGGGCUAUUCUCUUUUUUAAAUUUUUUUAUUUAAAUUUUCAUUUAUUUUUAUCAAGAUAGGGUCUCACUAUGUUGCCCAGGUUGGUCUCAAACUUUUGGCCUAAAGCAAUCCUCCCACCUUGGCCUCCCAAUGUGCUGGGAUUACAAUGUGAGCCACCACGUCCAGCCUCCUGGGAUAUUUCUCAAUGAAACAUUGGAUGCCAAGAUUGGUUUUGUGCCACAUGCCAAUUUCACAGAAGCCAGUCUAUGAGCCACCAGCUCUACUCAGCAAUUACAGUUUCUGGAACUUUGGCUAAAUUCCUGUAGAUGCACCACUGCUUGUGGCCUGACUCUUUGCCACCCAAGUGCGCUCAGCCUCCCCUGGGGAGUCUGCCAGGCUUGCAUGGCUCCCACUGCACUUGCUGUGCUGGGACCGAAAACAGUUUUUGUGCCCCUAGCUUAACUCCACUGGAUUCAUAGAGGCUUUGGCCUCCUCAAUGGCUGUCCUGGGACAGGGAGGCUGGUUAGCACAAUUAACACAACCUGGUCAUGCAAGGCAUUGAUGGUCCGUAACAUGAACUUUGACCAGUAGGAGACAGAGAAUGGAAAAAAGCCAGCAGAUAAAUCAUCUGGCCUUCCUCCCCUAUGACAGACUGUUCUGAGCCACAGUGUUUCACAUGUCUUCCUGGAGAUGUCCCACAUGACUUGAGCAACCAGCUGGAGCUCUGGAGAAACUGUGGCCAUCCUGAGGAAGAAACAGGCCCAGAGAAGUUGGGUAACUCAUCAAAGGUCACAGAGCUAAGAGUGGCAGAGUCAGGCCUGGAGCCCAGGAAGUCUGGUUUCGAAUUUCAUGCUUCUAACCUGAGCACUGUACUGCUUGGUGGAGUUCUCUGCUAGUCCUACCUUUCAGGCAGAGGAGUUGAAGAGCAAUUCCCUCCAGUUUCCAUUAGAAAUGCUUCUUCUUCCAUAUCAAAUAUUGUGAGAUAGCCUGAAACACCUUUCAACACUUUACUACCCUUCUCCAAAAUUCAACAGAUAUGAUUUCCACGGACUUUACUCACAGGGGCUUCAGUAGAAGAGGAAGAGGCUUGGGUUUAAUUGAAGGUGGCCUGAGACAUCUGUGAGGAACAGCCCUUUUAGAGACAUAUCCCCUACAAAUAAAGCAUCAGAAUUAUUAUCCUAAUA
RNAcentral lists this long non-coding RNA (2850 nucleotides) under Homo sapiens (human). RNAcentral's name for it is "long intergenic non-protein coding RNA 906". Lineage: Eukaryota; Metazoa; Chordata; Mammalia; Primates; Hominidae. The record is from RNAcentral.